This 451-nucleotide ribosomal RNA is filed under the name uncultured bacterium. Its description in RNAcentral is "partial 16S ribosomal RNA". It matches the Rfam family "Bacterial small subunit ribosomal RNA", at positions 29 to 523 of the family's 1533-position model. The record is from RNAcentral.
AACGAACGCUGGCGGCAGGCUUAACACAUGCAAGUCGAACGGACGUAGCAAUACGUUAGUGGCAGACGGGUGAGUAACGCGUGGGAAUAUGCCCUUUAGUUCGGAAUAACUCAGGGAAACUUGAGCUAAUACCGGAUAAGCCCGAGAGGGGAAAGAUUUAUCGCUGAAGGAGUAGCCCGCGUCUGAUUAGCUAGUUGGUGAGGUAAUGGCUCACCAAGGCGACGAUCAGUAGCUGGUCUGAGAGGAUGAUCAGCCACACUGGGACUGAGACACGGCCCAGACUCCUACGGGAGGCAGCAGUGGGGAAUAUUGGACAAUGGGGGCAACCCUGAUCCAGCCAUGCCGCGUGAGUGAUGAAGGCCUUAGGGUUGUAAAGCUCUUUUGUCCGGGAAGAUAAUGACUGUACCGGAAGAAUAAGCCCCGGCUAACUUCGUGCCAGCAGCCGCGGUAA